CCCUUAGAUGUUCUGGGCCGCACGCGCGCUACACUGACGAAUGCAGCGAGCUUAUAACCUUGGCCGAAAGGUCUGGGUAAUCUCCAAAUUUCGUCGUGAUGGGGAUAGAUUAUUGCAAUUAUUAAUCUUCAACGAGGAAUGCCUAGUAAGCGCAAGUCAUCAGCUUGCGUUGAUUACGUCCCUGCCCUUUGUACACACCGCCCGUCGCUCCUACCGAUUGAAUGAUUUAGUGAGGACUUCGGACUGGGACCGAUGCGGCUUUCGGGCUGCGUCGGUAUUCUGGAAAGAUGUCCAAACUGUAUCAUUUAGAGGAAGUAAAAGUCGUAACA
This 329-nucleotide ribosomal RNA is filed under the name uncultured eukaryote. RNAcentral's name for it is "partial 18S ribosomal RNA". It matches the Rfam family "Eukaryotic small subunit ribosomal RNA", at positions 1470 to 1796 of the family's 1831-position model. The record is from RNAcentral.